UGGGGAAUCUUGGACAAUGGGGGCAACCCUGAUCCAGCCAUGCCGCGUGAGUGAUGAAGGCCUUAGGGUCGUAAAGCUCUUUCGCCUGUGAAGAUAAUGACGGUAGCAGGUAAAGAAACCCCGGCUAACUCCGUGCCAGCAGCCGCGGUAAUACGGAGGGGGUUAGCGUUGUUCGGAAUUACUGGGCGUAAAGCGCACGUAGGCGGACCAGAAAGUUGGGGGUGAAAUCCCGGGGGCUCAACCCCGGAACUGCCUCCAAAACUAUUGGUCUAGAGUUCGAGAGAGGUGAGUGGAAUUCCAAGUGUAGAGGUGAAAUUCGUAGAUAUUUGGAGGAACACCAGUGGCGAAGGCGGCUCACUGGCUCGAUACUGACGCUGAGGUGCGAAAGUGUGGGGAGCAAACAGGAUUAGAUACCCUGGUAGUCCACGCCGUAAAACGAUGAGCACUCGGUGCCGC
Molecule: ribosomal RNA, 456 nt
Filed under: uncultured bacterium
Lineage: Bacteria
Description: bacterial SSU rRNA
Rfam family: Bacterial small subunit ribosomal RNA
Source: RNAcentral